GAGGCAGCCAAUUACUCAGCUUAUCUGACUGCGUUCUGCAGAAGGGUACAGAAAGCUGGCAAUAUUGGUGACAUAUUACGAGCCUUAAGGACAGGACAACUGAGGUCGUUAAGGUCCCUGAAAAUGGCUACAUUA
Small nucleolar RNA from Jaculus jaculus (lesser Egyptian jerboa), 135 nucleotides. RefSeq annotates it as small nucleolar RNA SNORA33. The record is from RefSeq and is a predicted model, not a curated record. The transcript has a single exon. Lineage: Eukaryota; Metazoa; Chordata; Mammalia; Rodentia; Dipodidae.